AGUGAACGCUGGCGGUAGGCCUAACACAUGCAAGUCGAACGGCAGCACAGUAAGAGCUUGCUCUUACGGGUGGCGAGUGGCGGACGGGUGAGGAAUACAUCGGAAUCUACUUUUUCGUGGGGGAUAACGUAGGGAAACUUACGCUAAUACCGCAUACGACCUACGGGUGGAAGCAGGGGAUCUUCGGACCUUGCGCGAUUGAAUGAGCCGAUGUCGGAUUAGCUAGUUGGCGGGGUAAAGGCCCACCAAGGCGACGAUCCGUAGCUGGUCUGAGAGGAUGAUCGACCACCCUGGAACUUAGACACGGUCCAGACUCCUACGGGAGGCAGCAGUGGGGAAUAUUGGACAAUGGGCGCAAGCCUGAUCCAGCCAUACCGCGUGGGUGAAGAAGGCCUUCGGGUUGUAAAGCCCUUUUGUUGGGAAAGAAAAGCAGCAGGUUAAUACCCCGCUGUUCUGACGGUACCCAAAGAAUAAGCACCGGCUAACUUCGUG
RNAcentral lists this ribosomal RNA (492 nucleotides) under uncultured bacterium. RNAcentral's name for it is "partial 16S ribosomal RNA". It matches the Rfam family "Bacterial small subunit ribosomal RNA", at positions 29 to 507 of the family's 1533-position model. The record is from RNAcentral.